This 1180-nucleotide long non-coding RNA is filed under the name Sus scrofa (pig). RNAcentral describes it as "lncRNA (ENSSSCG00060039683.1)". Lineage: Eukaryota; Metazoa; Chordata; Mammalia; Artiodactyla; Suidae. The record is from RNAcentral.
AGGAAAAGUACCUUACAGUUCUUUCUUCAUCUCCCCAAACUGAGAGAAAAGGAGAGAGGGAGACAUCCAGAGAGGCUGAGGUUGCCAGCAAAAAGAAGAGGGGAUAUUUUACCCCCCUGUGGAUGCUUAUUCAACCACAGAGAAACUCAGGCUCUUCCGAGUGUGGCUGCCAGAGGGGAGAGAAUUCUUGGGAAAUACACAAAGACCUUGAGGCUGUAUACAUUUCCUGAGCAGAGAAUCCUGAAGAUGAGAAGCUGGGCAGAGCUCCACAUUCAGGCAGCAAGACUGGGAGCAAGGAGAAGGCUGAGCUGCAAAUUGGCUGGAUCAUCAGAUUCAGUGCCUCUGAGAAGCCCGUCACACAGAUCUUGUCUUAACAGUGGACGCAGAGUUGUUCAAAGUUUUCAGUCAAGCAGACGUAUACAAAACUCGCCAUUUGAGAAGAUAACAUGAGCCCAACCUACCCUUCUCCUACAGCCCCGUCAUUGCUUUCUCAGUUUCACAGGCUGAGAGAACACCAGCAUCUCUCCACGUUAAACUUAGACUCCAAUUCUGAUCUCUGAACACAGAAUCCUCUGAAAUCCAAUCUGAAAAACACAGAACAUUUUAAAAGGUAUUCUUACCUCUAAUUUUGUCUGUAAAAUUAGAAUAUUUUGUUCUAAUGUACAUUUUUGGUUGUAGGUCAAAACCACUUUUUAAUGUCUCCUAUAAGAUCUAGGUCCUUAUCUAAUGCUUCUUCCAUGAAACUAGACAAUCUAGAUGUAAUUUUGACUUGUGAUUCGGUUAAUGCACCUAUGGUGAACCAUGUUUCGUCGCCCAUUAUAAUUUCAUAUUUGUACUUAUAUAAAUGCCCAUAACUAAGCAUUUUUUCAUUUUAAAAAUAUGUAAAGCUAUUUUAACGAGCACAUGCUCUCUACACCUCUUCCUCUAACCUUUCUGACAAUGUUAAAAUUUCCUAACUUGGUAGAUUUACGAAUUAAAAAAAUAAUCAGUGGGAAAGCAUGUCCUCCAUUAACCUAGGACAAAAUGUUUCAUCCAUUAAAAACAAGAACCAAAAAACCUGACCAUACUAUUCCAUGGAAAUAUUUCUGAAGGGUCAAAUACAGCCAUAUAGAGUGGAUAGAGAAAAUGGGGAUGUGAUUUUAAAAAUACAUGAAAAUAUACACUCAUGUGCAAACAAGCA